UUCCGGUUGAUCCUGCCGGAGGUCACUGCUAUCGGGGUUCGAUUAAGCCAUGCGAGUCGAGAGGGUUCAGACCCUCGGCGGACUGCUCAGUAACACGUGGAUAAUCUGCCCUAUGGUGGAGGAUAACCCCGGGAAACUGGGGAUAAUACUCCAUAAGUCAGGAGUACUGGAAUGUCUCCUAACUGAAAGUUGCGGCGCCAUAGGAUGAAUCUGCGGCCGAUUAGGUAGUUGUUGGGGUAACGGCCCAACAAGCCCGUAAUCGGUACGGGUUGUGGGAGCAAGAGCCCGGAGAUGGAAUCUGAGACACGAUUCCAGGCCCUACGGGGCGCAGCAGGCGCGAAAACUUUACAAUGCAGGAAACUGUGAUAAGGGAAACCCCGAGUGCCCGUACACGCGGGCUGUCCCGGUGUUUAAAACACAUCGGAAGAAAGGGCCGGGCAAGACCGGUGCCAGCCGCCGCGGUAAUACCGGCGGCUCGAGUGGUGACCACUUUUAUUGGGCUUAAAGCGUUCGUAGCUUGAUUUUUAAGUCUCUUGGGAAAUCUCACGGCUUAACUGUGAGGCGUCUAAGAGAUACUGGGAAUCUAGGGACCGGGAGAGGUAAGAGGUACUUCAGGGGUAGAAGUGAAAUUCUGUAAUCCCUUGAGGGACCACCGAUGGCGAAGGCAUCUUACCAGAACGGCUUCGACAGUGAGGAACGAAAGCUGGGGGAGCGAACGGGAUUAGAUACCCCGGUAGUCCCACCCGUAAACUAUGCGCGUUAGGUGUGCCUGUAACUACGAGUUACCGGGGUGCCGAAGUGAAAACGUGAAACGUGCCGCCUGGGAAGUACGGUCGCAAGGCUGAAACUUAAAGGAAUUGGGCGGGGGAGCACCACCACGGGUGGAGCCUGCGGUUUAAUUGGAUUCAACGCCGGG
Molecule: ribosomal RNA, 916 nt
Filed under: uncultured archaeon
Lineage: Archaea
Description: bacterial SSU rRNA
Rfam family: Archaeal small subunit ribosomal RNA
Source: RNAcentral